Thalassophryne amazonica is the source of this 442-nucleotide long non-coding RNA. RefSeq lists it as uncharacterized. Lineage: Eukaryota; Metazoa; Chordata; Actinopteri; Batrachoidiformes; Batrachoididae. The transcript has 2 exons. The record is from RefSeq and is a predicted model, not a curated record.
UCUGGAACCAGACAAGCCGGAUUCUCAUCAGUUCACAUUAACACUCAGCAGAUUUAAAGGAAAAUUCUGGUUUGAAUAGUUUCAGGAAUCAGUCCAAAAACUGAUUAGAAAGUCUGACUCAAAAGCAUUUAAUAUGGAAACGUCGCGCCGCAUCCUUCGAAGGCAGUGUUCUACAAAGAUCUUGGUUUCUGAGACCGCGGAGGCCGAAUCAACCGCUCCAAAGUGAGCCAGUCUAGCCCAUGGUGCAUUCUGUUGCCUACUAGGUGCCCCUUGUUGCCUAGUAACCUUGACAGCUGCAUGCGUCCAGCUAGCAUAGUGUUCGUACCCUGUAGUUUAGUAACCAUUUUUCCAUACUUAUAAACCCUACUUACUUAUAAUUGCAGAUAUGGAGCCUGAAAUAUCCUUUAUGUUUUUAAAUUUAAAAUUUACCAACCAAUAAAAA